RNAcentral lists this ribosomal RNA (384 nucleotides) under uncultured bacterium. Its description in RNAcentral is "bacterial SSU rRNA". It matches the Rfam family "Bacterial small subunit ribosomal RNA", at positions 30 to 416 of the family's 1533-position model. The record is from RNAcentral.
AUUGAACGCUGGCGGCAUGCCUUACACAUGCAAGUCGAACGGUAACGGGCCUUCGGGCGCCGACGAGUGGCGAACGGGUGAGUAAUGCAUCGGAACGUACCUUUCAGUGGGGGAUAACGUAGCGAAAGUUACGCUAAUACCGCAUAUUCUGUGAGCAGGAAAGCAGGGGAUCGCAAGACCUUGCGCUGAUUGAGCGGCCGAUGUCAGAUUAGCUAGUUGGUGAGGUAAAGGCUCACCAAGGCGACGACCUGUAGCGGGUCUGAGAGGAUGAUCCGCCACACUGGAACUGAGACACGGUCCAGACUCCUACGGGAGGCAGCAGUGGGGAAUUUUGGACAAUGGGGGCAACCCUGACCCAGCCAUGCCGCGUGAGUGAAGAAGGCC